AAUGAACGUUGGCGGCGUGGAUUAGGCAUGCAAGUCGAGCGAGAAACUUUUUUUCGGAAAAGUGGACAGCGGCGAAAGGGAGAGUAACGAGUAGAAACGUACCCCGAGGCUCGGAAUAGCAGAGAGAAAUUUCUGGUAAUGCCGAAUAAUGUCUCCGGACCAAAGGUUUACCACCUGGGGAGCGGUCUGCUUUCUAUUAGCUAGUUGGUGUGGUAAUGGCUCACCAAGGCAAAGAUGGAUACCGGGCGUGAGAGCGUGACCCGGCUCACUGGGACUGAGACACUGCCCAGACACCUACGGGUGGCUGCAGUCGAGAAUCUUCCGCAAUGGACGAAAGUCUGACGGAGCGACGCCGCGUGCUGGAUGAAGGCCUUCGGGUUGUAAACAGCUGUCAUAGGGGAGGAAAUUUUGACCGAUCCUAAGAGGAAGCACAGGCUAAGUUCG
This 444-nucleotide ribosomal RNA is filed under the name uncultured Planctomycetaceae bacterium. RNAcentral's name for it is "bacterial SSU rRNA". It matches the Rfam family "Bacterial small subunit ribosomal RNA", at positions 29 to 505 of the family's 1533-position model. The record is from RNAcentral. Lineage: Bacteria; Pseudomonadati; Planctomycetota; Planctomycetia; Planctomycetales; Planctomycetaceae.